Long non-coding RNA from Alligator sinensis (Chinese alligator), 1567 nucleotides. RefSeq lists it as uncharacterized. The record is from RefSeq and is a predicted model, not a curated record. The transcript has 3 exons. NCBI's taxonomy places the organism in Eukaryota, Metazoa, Chordata, Crocodylia, Alligatoridae.
CGCAGAUCCGAUAUUUGCCUGAUUUCUCUCAUGAAGACAUGGCAGACUUUCAGUUAAGUAGCACCAAUUAACAUAGCAAGUGUUGCAUAUUAAAAAAAGCUCAGCUGUGCUCUGUAGAAAUUAUUUUAUUGUAAAGUAUAAGUUUUACAAACUACAGGGAGAUAUUACAGAGAGAAAAUUUUAAGACUUAAAAUCUAAAAUGGGAAUAUGAAAAUUGAUUGAUGAGGUAAUUUGUCCUAUUGUGCUGUAUUGCAUUAAAGUGGCUCGUAGGUUCGUAGAAGAGUGGAAAGACCUAUUACUUUAUUAAGUGAAUUGCAGCACCACUGGUGGAUAUAAUAGUUUCUGAUCCACAGAGAAUAUAGGUUUGCUACAGCAAUCAGCUUCGUAUCUGAGGCUGUAGGGAUAAAGCAUUUAGCUUUGGAAGUCACUACUUCAAUCCCCCAUCAAAAGUUAAAUCACAAGAAUUUGAGAGAAACCACCAAAAUACGCAGACAUAAUUAGGCAACUUAUCCUGCUUGUUAUUGAAAAAGGUUCAUGAUAUGCAACUACUAACAAGUAGUGAUUCAGUCUGAACCCAGAAUAACAACUUAUAGUACCGCUAUAUUGGGAAACUGGCAAUACUGAUGAUGUGCGUAAGUAUAGCAAAGGUAGAAUAGAUACAAGGAAAAAAAAAUAGAUGUUUCAUCACUGGAGCAGGGGAGAAGGAAAGUGGCAUGAUGGUGAGCUCUGACAAAAACUAAUAUCCACUACCAGAAGCCUGGUUCUCAGACUGUUGAUAUUUGACUACAUACUAACCAGGAUUAAUGAUGUAACUCAGGCUAUUGAUCCUUUAGGAUCAGGGUGUAUGUGCAAGAGGUCACCCACACCUCGAACACUUAUGUCUAGGCAGGAGGCUGGAGGACUUGAGGCUGCCCAUCCCCACUUUAGGCCAUUGAGAAGGAAUCCAAAGGCCAGACCAAGUCCAGAUGUUCAGUGCCUCGGGGGCUGUAGUUACAUACACAUCCAAGAAUUGAACCCAGAUCCACUGCAUGGCGCACAAGGAGUCUACCGCCAAACCACAGGGGAUUCUGGGUAUGGGUAGUGACAACAGAAACUUAACUGAUCUUUUUAAUGUUCUGUUUGAGGCUUUGCUACAGGUCAGGGCAAAAGGCAAGGAACACAAGACUCCACCAGCAUAAAGCCAAUGAGGAGCAGUGCUACAAAAUGAAAUGCCAUCACUGUGUUGGCAAAAAGUUGCUGAGGCAGACUGGAAUGCUUUCUGAGUUUGAUAUAACGGGAACCCUUCAAUGAAGCUGUGACAGGGAGUCUACAGAAGAUAUAAUUCCUGCUCAAAGAAACAGAAAUUCCUUUUAAAUGGAAAAAGAGAAGGAAUGUGCUGGAAAGGAGGUCUUAGAUCUGCUGCCAGCAUGCCACUCAUCAGUGACACACACUGAAAGAUGCAUUACUCAGCUGAAGCUGCACAUCCAUGGUGAGUAUGCUAACACUUCAUACAGAUAUUCCAUUCAUCUGUUCCAUUAACCCAGUGAUUCUCAACCAGAGUGCUGCAGCACCCUGGGGUGCCUUGAGA